RNAcentral lists this unclassified non-coding RNA (250 nucleotides) under uncultured Streptococcus sp. RNAcentral's name for it is "partial ribonuclease P RNA". It matches the Rfam family "Bacterial RNase P class B", at positions 1 to 242 of the family's 365-position model. From Rfam's summary of the family: Ribonuclease P (RNase P) is a ubiquitous endoribonuclease, found in archaea, bacteria and eukarya as well as chloroplasts and mitochondria. Its best characterised activity is the generation of mature 5'-ends of tRNAs by cleaving the 5'-leader elements of precursor-tRNAs. Lineage: Bacteria; Bacillati; Bacillota; Bacilli; Lactobacillales; Streptococcaceae. The record is from RNAcentral.
GUGCAAUUUUUGGAUAAUCGCGUGGAGAUUUUAGAUUUUCAUGAGGAAAGUCCAUGCUAGCACUGGCUGUGAUGCCGGUAGUGUUUGUGCUAGGCGAAGAAAUAAGCCUAGGGACGGAUUUUUCCGUUACGGCGACCGAAAGGGCUAAGUCUUUGGAUAUGUCUGAUUAGGUCUGAAAGUGCCACAGUGACGUAGUUCUUCUGGAAACAGAAGAAGUGGAACGCGGUAAACCCCUCAAGCUAGCAACCCA